Molecule: non-coding RNA, 75 nt
Organism: Phrynosoma platyrhinos (Desert horned lizard)
Lineage: Eukaryota; Metazoa; Chordata; Lepidosauria; Squamata; Phrynosomatidae
Source: the annotation of a GenBank genome assembly
GGGAGUGUGGUGUAGUGGUUUGAGUGUUGGACUCCGAUUUUGGUGGCCAGGGUUCAAAUCCCUUUUGCUUUCCCA